Micropterus salmoides (largemouth bass) is the source of this 181-nucleotide long non-coding RNA. RefSeq lists it as uncharacterized. The transcript is spliced from 3 exons. NCBI's taxonomy places the organism in Eukaryota, Metazoa, Chordata, Actinopteri, Centrarchiformes, Centrarchidae. The record is from RefSeq and is a predicted model, not a curated record.
UGCUCACUGACCACAGAGGAAAGGUAUCUUUAAAGACAGCGUCCUUCUUCACUCCACACAGAGAGAUGAGAGGAGCAAAUAUGAGUUUAACUGCAGCAGCGAGAGGAUUUGUCGUCUUCCUUCUCUCUGUGUCAGUGAUUCAGGGCCAGAACAGCUGGGGAGUGACUUACACCUCUACUCA